UCAAGCAAUCUCGGGCUUGGUUAGUACUUGGAUGGGUGACCGCUUGGGAAUACCAAGUGUGAUAAGCA
This is a non-coding RNA of Ciona savignyi (Pacific transparent sea squirt), 68 nucleotides long. NCBI's taxonomy places the organism in Eukaryota, Metazoa, Chordata, Ascidiacea, Phlebobranchia, Cionidae. The record is from Rfam.